AGAGUGAACGCUGGCGGUAGGCCUAACACAUGCAAGUCGAACGGCAGCACAGUGGUAGCAAUACCAUGGGUGGCGAGUGGCGGACGGGUGAGGAAUACAUCGGAAUCUACCUUUUCGUGGGGGAUAACGUAGGGAAACUUACGCUAAUACCGCAUACGCCCUUCGGGGGAAAGCCGGGGAUCGCAAGACCUGGCGCGGAUAGAUGAGCCGAUGUCGGAUUAGCUAGUUGGUGAGGUAAUGGCUCACCAAGGCGACGAUCCGUAGCUGGUCUGGAGAGGAUGAUCAGCCACACUGGAACUGAGACACGGUCCAGACUCCGUACGGGAGCAGCAGGUGGGGAA
This 341-nucleotide ribosomal RNA is filed under the name uncultured soil bacterium. Its description in RNAcentral is "bacterial SSU rRNA". It matches the Rfam family "Bacterial small subunit ribosomal RNA", at positions 26 to 361 of the family's 1533-position model. The record is from RNAcentral.